GUCGAGCGGCGGACGGGUGAGUAAUGCCUAGGAAAUUGCCCUGAUGUGGGGGAUAACCAUUGGAAACGAUGGCUAAUACCGCAUGAUGCCUACGGGCCAAAGAGGGGGACCUUCGGGCCUCUCGCGUCAGGAUAUGCCUAGGUGGGAUUAGCUAGUUGGUGAGGUAAGGGCUCACCAAGGCGACGAUCCCUAGCUGGUCUGAGAGGAUGAUCAGCCACACUGGAACUGAGACACGGUCCAGACUCCUACGGGAGGCAGCAGUGGGGAAUAUUGCACAAUGGGCGCAAGCCUGAUGCAGCCAUGCCGCGUGUGUGAAGAAGGCCUUCGGGUUGUAAAGCACUUUCAGUCGUGAGGAAGGUAGUGUAGUUAAUAGCUGCAUUAUUUGACGUUAGCGACAGAAGAAGCACCGGCUAACUCCGUGCCAGCAGCCGCGGUAAUACGGAGGGUGCGAGCGUUAAUCGGAAUUACUGGGCGUAAAGCGCAUGCAGGUGGUUUGUUAAGUCAGAUGUGAAAGCCCGGGGCUCAACCUCGGAAUUGCAUUUGAAACUGGCAGACUAGAGUACUGUAGAGGGGGGUAGAAUUUCAGGUGUAGCGGUGAAAUGCGUAGAGAUCUGAAGGAAUACCGGUGGCGAAGGCGGCCCCCUGGACAGAUACUGACACUCAGAUGCGAAAGCGUGGGGAGCAAACAGGAUUAGAUACCCUGGUAGUCCACGCCGUAAACGAUGUCUACUUGGAGGUUGUGGCCUUGAGCCGUGGCUUUCGGAGCUAACGCGUUAAGUAGACCGCCUGGGGAGUACGGUCGCAAGAUUAAAACUCAAAUGAAUUGACGGGGGCCCGCACAAGCGGUGGAGCAUGUGGUUUAAUUCGAUGCAACGCGAAGAACCUUACCUACUCUUGACAUCCAGAGAACUUUCCAGAGAUGGAUUGGUGCCUUCGGGAACUCUGAGACAGGUGCUGCAUGGCUGUCGUCAGCUCGUGUUGUGAAAUGUUGGGUUAAGUCCCGCAACGAGCGCAACCCUUAUCCUUGUUUGCCAGCGAGUAAUGUCGGGAACUCCAGGGAGACUGCCGGUGAUAAACCGGAGGAAGGUGGGGACGACGUCAAGUCAUCAUGGCCCUUACGAGUAGGGCUACACACGUGCUACAAUGGCGCAUACAGAGGGCGGCCAACUUGCGAAAGUGAGCGAAUCCCAAAAAGUGCGUCGUAGUCCGGAUUGGAGUCUGCAACUCGACUCCAUGAAGUCGGAAUCGCUAGUAAUCGUGGAUCAGAAUGCCACGGUGAAUACGUUCCCGGGCCUUGUACACACCGCCCGUCACACCAUGGGAGUGGUAUGCAAAAGAAGUAGGUAG
Molecule: ribosomal RNA, 1347 nt
Filed under: Vibrio parahaemolyticus
Lineage: Bacteria; Pseudomonadati; Pseudomonadota; Gammaproteobacteria; Vibrionales; Vibrionaceae
Description: 16S ribosomal RNA
Rfam family: Bacterial small subunit ribosomal RNA
Source: RNAcentral